AACGCACAUUGCGCCCUUUGGCAUUCCGAAGGGCAUGCCUGUUCGAGCGUCAUUACACCAAUCAAGCCUGGCUUGGUAUUGGGCGACGGGGCCGUCACACGCCCCGCGCCCCAAUGACUCCCCGGCGGGACGUUACCGUAUCUCAGCGUUGUGGUCAAAAGCCGCUGGCGAGACGGGGCGGCCGUGCCGUUAAACCUCUCUUCUGUAAGGUUGACCUCGGAUCAGGUAGGGAUACCCGCUGAACUUAA
This 248-nucleotide unclassified non-coding RNA is filed under the name uncultured fungus. RNAcentral's name for it is "partial contains 5.8S ribosomal RNA, internal transcribed spacer 2, and large subunit ribosomal RNA". The record is from RNAcentral. Lineage: Eukaryota; Fungi.